GAGCAGCGCGCGCAGGCAGCCUUUGCAGCUUUGGGCUUUGCUGCUUUGGCAGAGAGCUCGCGGGUCCAGGGCUCUGUGUUCCUCUCGUCUCUGAGCUCCCGUUGUGAUCACGAGCCACGCUAGGGCUGAGCGCGGCGAGAGAUACUGGUCUAAAGAAGUUCCUGUGAAGGUCACUGCUUUCAAAUAUGUGCAUCAUCAGGCUUUUCGCAGCAUUAUAAAUUGCAAGAGGAGUUUACAGACUGAGGAUGUUCCUGGGUUCUUUCCAGAUUCUUGGACAGCAAUACUGUAGAAGCGAAUCCACAAGACUCUUAGGCAAGCAAAGGUUUUUACUUAAACAGAUAGCUUGUGCCUAAGGAGGAUGCAGCAAGAAAAAAAAGGCGCCGGCUCUCACAGUAGAAGGGGUGAACUCGAAGGAGCCUCUGAGUGGCUUCAGCUAUGACCGCGCAGAGUUCCUAAUGGAUGGGAUGUGCGUUCUUUCAGAGAGCACUUAUUGAGGACAGAGGACACUGUGCUUGAAGUGCUUCCCAAAGCCAAAGAAACAAAACAACACAGCCUCCGCUCUCUCCCCUCAAGGACGGAUUCAAUUCAACAAACAUUUAAAGGGACUAUUAUGAGCCAGUCUCUGUGGGGAAGGCUAAGGGUGCAGUGAUGAGGAGGACAGUGGUGUGGAACGCACACAUCAAACAGUUACAAAAAAGCAUCAGUAAUGACGGUGUGUGGUAAGUGCUGUGAAGGAAAAGUGUAAGAAGAGUCCACAAGAGCAGAUAUCUGAGACAUCUUCUGAUUUAGAGGGUGACCAGAGAAGGCUUUCCUGAGGAAGGGACAAAAAGAUUUUAAAAGAUUCUAUUAUCUGACUGCUUCAGUAAAUACUACAUACCUGAACUUGUUCCAGUAAUAUCAGGAUAACAUAGGUAAGAACCAGGAGAUAUUUUCACUCUCUGGAGGUCUCUUCGGGAACCUUUGGCUGCUUCUUUUCCUUGUGUCUGUAUUGUCCUUUCUGAUAAGGAAGUGAUACUGGAAAUGGUGGUAGGAAGUAAUUUUGAUGCCCUAAAAAUACAAUUAUUGCUUGCACUAUGUCUCAGACCAGGAGGGUGAGUAACUCACCUGUCUCCAUCUGUGCCUGCUCCUUUAAGCCUAGAAAGCAGUAACAACCAGAGAAUUUUAAGCUUAAACAUGUAGGGAAGUUUCCUAAAAGUGUAUGAAAGACUAAUGCAGAAAUACUUUAGAUAUAUUAUAGCAUUAGACUCUGUCUUUUAAAAUACCCAUAAUUGAAACAUUUCUCUCAAGUUUUGCCUACAAAAUAUAAUUAAUAAGUAUGUUAUAAUUAAUAUCAUUAGUUAAUUUAAGCCAAUUAAAUAUUAAAAUGCUAUGUGUUUUAUUAGGAUCCUCCGAGUGGUUACUAGUAUGAUUUUUAAAAUUGAAGUAUAGUUGUGUGUAAGUUGCAGGUGUAAAAUAUAGUGAUUCACAACUUUUUUAAGUUAUACCCCUUUUGUAGUUAUUGUAAAAUAUUGGCUGUAUUCCCUGUGUUGUACAAUAUGUUUCUGUAGCUUAUUUUAUACAUAAUAGUUCGUACCUUUUAAUCCCCUACUCCUAUAUUGCCCUCCCCUUCCCCACUGGUAACCACUAGUUUGUUCUCUAUAUCUGUGAUUCUGCUUCAUUUUUGUUAUAUUCACUAGUUUGUUGUACUUUUUUAGAUUCCACGUAUAAGUGAUAUCAUACAGUAUCUGUCUUUAUCUGACUCAUUUCACUUAGCAUAAUACCCUCCAAGUCCAUCCAUGUUGAUGCAAAUGGCAAAAUUUCAUUCUGUUUUAUGGCUGAGUAGCAUUCCAUUGUCUGUGGAUACCACAUCUUUUUAUCCAUUCAUCUGUUGAUGGACACUUAGAUUGCUUCCAUAUCUUGGCAAUUGUAAAUAAUGCUGCUAUGAACAUUGAGGUGUGUAUAUCUUUUCAAACCAGUAUGAUUUAAAAUGCAAGCUGAGCUUAGAUAAAGCCGUUCAAUAUUGUGAGUUUUUUUUCCUAAAGAUAUAAAUCUAAACCUCUGAUUAUAUAAUUUGCAGUUAGUCUUACCUAUUGAAGUGUAAUUUUUUUGGUAACAAUAUUCAGUUAAUUGAUUGUUGCUAAGAUAAUUGCAAAAUGAGGAAGAGAUAAUUAAAAGUGUUUUUGGCAAUUUGGGGGGCAGAGGAUAGGAGAGAGCAUGUGGUAGGCAGAAUAAUGUCCUCCCCAAAGAUGCCCAUGUCCUAAUCUCCAGAAACUGUCAAUAUGUUAGGUUACAUGGCAAAGGGAAAUUAAGGUUGCUAAUUAGCUAACGUUAAAAUAGGGAGAUUAGUUUAUCCAAGUGGCCCCAGUGUAAUCACAGGGUCCUUAAAAGUGGACGAGGAAGGCAGAAGAGGGAGAAUCAGAGAGGUGGUGGCACGAGGAGGACUGGCUUAGAAUUGCUGCCUUUGAUGAUGGGGGAGGGGGCCAUGAGCCAGGGUAAGUGCCUCUAGAAGCUGGAAAAGUCAAGGAAAGAAUUCUUUCCUAGAGUCUUUGAGGGAACACAGCGCUGUGGACAUCCUGAUUUUAGUUGAUCCUGUCAGGCUUUUAACCUCCAAAACUGUAAGAUAAUAAAUUUAUGUUGUUUCAGUCACUAAGUUUUUGGUAAUCUGCUAGAUAGCAACAGGAAACUAACAGGGCAUAAACAGGAGAGGGUGUGUUUUUGGGCAGAAGGUUACAGUGGGAGAGGUGCAGCAGAAGAUAGAGCCAAAAACUAAAGUGAGGGUCAGGUUUUGAGAAGAAUAGAAUUCUUCUGUUCCGGGCAUUUGGAUUAAAUUUGUCUGGCCACAAGAAGCCAGUCUGCAGAACCAGGUUUGUUACAGUUGAAAAGAACUGAUAAUACAAGAGAUGUUCUUAGGAAGAACUGAAGCAUUUGAUAACUGUAUAUAGGGUAAAAAGGACUGAGGGGCACAAAAUGACUUCCACCUGGGCCUCUGGAUGACUGGGGAAAUCAUCAAUAGAAAGAAACAGGGCAGACUUCCUAGU
Molecule: long non-coding RNA, 3017 nt
Organism: Hippopotamus amphibius kiboko
Lineage: Eukaryota; Metazoa; Chordata; Mammalia; Artiodactyla; Hippopotamidae
Exons: 3
Source: RefSeq, a predicted model, not a curated record